AAUAAACGCUGGCGGCGUGCCUAACACAUGCAAGUCGAGCGAGAAAGCUCCUUCGGGAGUUAGUAAAGCGGCGAACGGGUGAGCAACACGUGAGAAUCUACCCUUUAGUGAAGAAUACCCUCGAGAAAUCGAGGCUAAUACUGCAUACGUCCCUUCGGGGAGAAAGAUGGCCUCUUUGCUAUCGCUAAAGGAUGAGCUUGCGUACUAUUAGCUAGUUGGCGGGGUAAAGGCCCACCAAGGCAAUGAUGGUUAACCGGCCUGAGAGGGUGUACGGUCACACUGGAACUUAGACACGGUCCAGACUCCUACGGGAGGCAGCAGUGAGGAAUCUUGCGCAAUGGGCGAAAGCCUGACGCAGCGACGCCGCGUGGAGGAUGACGGUUUUC
RNAcentral lists this ribosomal RNA (386 nucleotides) under uncultured bacterium. RNAcentral's name for it is "bacterial SSU rRNA". It matches the Rfam family "Bacterial small subunit ribosomal RNA", at positions 29 to 419 of the family's 1533-position model. The record is from RNAcentral.